This 445-nucleotide ribosomal RNA is filed under the name uncultured bacterium. RNAcentral's name for it is "SSU rRNA". It matches the Rfam family "Bacterial small subunit ribosomal RNA", at positions 26 to 518 of the family's 1533-position model. The record is from RNAcentral.
AGAGCGAACGCUGGCGGCAGGCUUAACACAUGCAAGUCGAGCGGGCGUAGCAAUACGUCAGCGGCAGACGGGUGAGUAACGCGUGGGAACAUACCUUUUGGUUCGGAACAACACAGGGAAACUUGUGCUAAUACCGGAUAAGCCCUUACGGGGAAAGAUUUAUCGCCGAAAGAUUGGCCCGCGUCUGAUUAGCUAGUUGGUGAGGUAACGGCUCACCAAGGCGACGAUCAGUAGCUGGUCUGAGAGGAUGAUCAGCCACAUUGGGACUGAGACACGGCCCAAACUCCUACGGGAGGCAGCAGUGGGAAUAUUGGACAAUGGGCGCAAGCCUGAUCCAGCAAUGCCGCGUGUGUGAAGAAGGUCUUCGGAUUGUAAAGCACUUUCGACGGGACGAUGAUGACGGUACCCGUAGAAGAAGCCCGGCUAACUUCGUGCCAGCAGCCGC